Molecule: unclassified non-coding RNA, 10454 nt
Filed under: Leishmania donovani
Lineage: Eukaryota; Euglenozoa; Kinetoplastea; Trypanosomatida; Trypanosomatidae
Description: gene:LdHU3.31.2740(CDS-product:protein_kinase_put ative)
Source: RNAcentral
UGCGGCAAAAGACCGCGUUAGCCGGACCUGAAAGUCUCUCUCUCCCCCCGUGUGGAAGCUCGUCCGCCUCUGUGUCUUGGUGCAUACUCUUGGGUGAUCCUGCGCACACGUACGCGAACUGUAACACCCCACCACCACGCGGACGGAGCCUCUCUUCCUGUGUAAAGGCAAGCGGAGGAGAGAGAGAGUUUGUGAAUGGUGGCGGGAGGGCGUUACCAACACAGACACCAAUCUUGUGCCACACACGCUCUCCUUAUAGAGUCAUCGCAUCCGCGCUGGGGAUCGGAACGACGACGGCGAUAGGGCGCAGAGGGCAGGGGCGCGGUCGCACGCUUACUGAGAUCUCUUUUCUUUUUUUUUUUCGGUUGUACUUUUCUUUCGUGGCUUUCCCACCCUCGUAGCGGAACCACGUUUCAUAGGAAUGUUGCGGAGCGGUGCCUUAUGCAAGGCACUGUCGUCCCCGGCAAGCCGCCCCGAAGCAUCUGCAACGGUGUCUUCUCGCGGUAGCGCUGCCGACCACUCCAUACCUGUCAGUGCACCUGUCUUCAUCGACGCUUUUGAAGAUUUGACGACUGCGAAACCCUCGCUACAUAGGGAGCCCCAUAUCAGUAGCAGCAAGAGUCCCAACGAACUUGAACGCCGUCGACGGUGCUACCACGGCACGCAACCGUGUGAGCAGGUCCUUUUCACGCCACCAGUGCGUGAGACGGUUAUUAGUGAAGAGGAGGAGCUCUCUCUCUUGCAUGCACGGCGCAUGUGCAGCUCUGAUGCGCAGCUGGGGACCACGCAGGCAGCCUGCGCAUGGAGGCCUGCGUCGCCUGAAUUCACGGAUCUCGUCCCCUUCCUCGCUUCACAGUCACCGCUGGAGCCGCUAUGCUCAAGCGAGCCCGCUGCUGUUGCACCCUUGUCACUAAACGCCACUCGAAGAGCGUCUCCUCGAGAUGCUACCACCGACACUGCUGCUGCUCCCACGACUUCAGGGGAUUCCUCGAAGAUUACGAUGGCAACCGUGUCAUCACUCACAGUUCACACCGAUAGCAACACUGGCCGCGCGCUGCACUCGCGCACCAGCUCACUACUGUAUUAUAGUCCGCAUAUCCACUAUGACGGCAACAGCGAGAGCCUCGAGACGGAGGCUGCACUGCAUAGCAGUCACGCGGCGAUCUCGUCCUCUAUCUCAUGCUUUCACGCGUCCUCCUUGGUUACGCCACGUGCGCUGCCAUCGUACCCGCUUAGCUCUAGCUCCAGAAACUCCAUGGCGCUGACGAAGCUGCAGGCAGAGUCCUCCCGCAGUGAAGGCAAUCGUAGCUCGUCACCUACUGGCACGUGUGGCGGGGCUGCUUGUAUCAUCUCUGACGCACUCGCGCUCACCCACGAAAAACCUGAUCACCUUCUGCUGCGUGCAUUGGCCAGUGAGGAGGGAGCUUACGUGCCACCGCUCAGCACCUUCACCACAACGCAGUGCACCAUUCCACCAAUCACAGCACCCCAAGCGGAGAAGCAAAACGUGAACACUAAGAGCGGUUUUGCUCCAAGUGUGCCGUCGAUUCGCCUCCCCGUUGCCUAUUCUAUCCCCGUUAGCGAUUCGGAACGUAGCCUCGCCAGCAUCCCUGCUCUGGGGUAUGGCCCACGCAGUACUCCCAACGCCUGCUCCUUGACUUCUGCUCGUUCGGGCCCCUCUGCGCGAUCGGCACGUCACUCUAACCGCUGCACCUCAACGUUGCGCAACGGCGUACUAACGCUGAAGGAGCUCUUUCCUACUCUGCCCGAUGAGCUCUACCUCACGCGCGAUCGGCUGUGCAUCUCGCAUGAUAGCAAGCGGCGACUGGGGUCUGGUGCGUAUGGCAUCGUGCAGCAGGCAGAGCUCUACCCGCCAGGUGUCGAGGCACCGCGCAUGUUCACACCGACGUCGGAAAGUGCCGCGAGCACGUCGAUCCCCAGCACGCCGUGCUUCUCGCCAGCCAACGGCCGCGUCUCAAUUCAUAGCUUCUCAUCCAUCGCCGCUGCUGUCGGAAACCAUGAGAACGUGGCUGGCGCCAGCAACGGUGGCUACUUUGGGGCUGAGCAGACGGGUAGACCCGGGGCUAUGGCGCUGGCUGCCAAAACGAGUGGCAACAUCCACUUUCGCACAGUGUCGAUGUUCAGCAGCGAUAGCGUCACCGCGUCGGCCCUGCCACUGCAUCAGCAGCCGUAUAACGGGCAGACCGCGUCGUUCUACAACGGUGUGGAUGACAUGGUGCGGUGGAGCAGCGCUGUGGAGUCCGUGAAAGACCUGCCUUGGGGACAUGCGCUGAGCUUAAACAACGAUGCGACGCCGAACAUGACUACGGCGCAGGCCACCGUGCUAUCGCCGACGUCGGGUUCACAUGAGACACCGGCGUUCGAUGCAGUGAGCACUGCUUCGUCCGAGGGCCAGCACAGCGCCUCACAGUCUCCUUCCGUGGAGAGGCCCCUGCACUGCAAAACCACGGCGGCGACCACAAUGGACUUCAAUUGCCAGACACAGAACGACCUUCGACUGCCAGCGGUGCUGGGGCUACGCUUGGGUCACAAUCCUGACUUGCGUGUGAGCCCGCGGACGUCGUUGCUUGUCUCCUCAGGUCACCUCAGCGGUCGCGUCUGCGGCGCCGCCACAGCAGUGGACGAUGCAGGCGAGAGCACAGUGUGCACAGGCAUAUGCGAGGAGGGGCGCGACUGCCUCGCUAGCGUUAUCGAGUCUGUGCGUCCAUCCAGGGGCGAAGGGGAGGCCGUCGACGGAGAGACGGAGCCGGGGGCGCAGCACUCCAUGACCUCCAGAACUGGCAGGGGCGCUUUUGCGUUGCCCCACUCGCCGGUGGGGGGAGGUCGCGCCUACCGCAGCAGCAGCAUGCGCGUAUGGCGUCGCGUCGCGUGCGGGCGUGGGAAUGAGAGUGAGGGAUCGGGGCUGCGCACGUACCCUUCUUUUACUUCCCCAACCAUCCAGGAGGUCUCCAUGGGCACCUCAUCGGCCGCUGCUGUAGAGGGAAAGCAAACGCCCUGCUGCGAGAUGGUGGUGCCACCAGCCACUGUGGAUGCAUAUCUGCACCGUUUUCUGUCGCGAACCGCCGAUCUUGUCUCUUCCAAGUUUGUUGACCACGUCGACGCCGCUGAUCACACGGUGCGGGAAGCAGCAGUGGUGGGAGCCGACGCAAACGACAAGGCGCAGGCGGAGGGUUAUGGCUGUCUGCCAAGCGCACUGCCCCGUGCACUUGAGGAUAGGGAGGAAGGGGGGGAGUAUGAGCCUGCGGAGAAGACGAGUGCGACACCGGAGCGCCGAGGCCCCGAGUCGCGGCGGCAAAGAAUGCAAGAGAGUCUGGAGAUGAGCAGAUCCUCCUUUCUGGUGAGCAUCAGCUACGCUGAGCACGAGCUCACGUGCAGCGACGCAGGGGAUGAGACGCUGACGCUGACGGCGCAGCAGGCAAUUGAGGGGGCGAUACGGGAGGCCCAAGAAGAGCACCAGCACGCAAUGGAUCAGACGCCGGAGGGGACGGAGAAAACACCGGGAGCAGGGCUUCGCCUCAGACUAAAGGGACAUGACAUCAGCUGUGCAGGGUCGGAGGCGCAGAGUGAAAUGCGGUCCGAUGGUGAGGCGGCAACGACCACUUCCACCGAUGUCGUGUUGGCGGCAGCAGCGGGGGAGGCGGGGCGGAUGGCGCAGCGCUUUACGCACCUUAGCACAGGCACCUCAGCUCCAGCCUCCACCGCGAUGGCAAAGAGCACAAACGCCGGCUUUUUCGGCCCCCGCACACACGUGGGAGGCGGUGUCGGUGGGGAUGCGAUCCUUGGAGGGCACGUGACCCCCAGCAGCACCUCCAACUCAUGGACUCCGAGCGGUACGGCUCCCAUCGGUGCUUCCGCCGCUGCGUCGGCGAUGUCCGCAACAUCCAUAACGAGGCCCGGCAACCUUGGUGGCGCACUUGUCUCGGGCGGCACCAACAACACGCUGCAAUCAUCCUUUGAUUUUCCGCGUACCCCGGCCGUUCACCAUGACAUGAAACCGUCGAUGGUCUCCGAUGCACUUUCCAGCGGUGCGGUGCCGUUCCGCUCGGUCGCCACCAAGGUGAUCGAGAAGGUGGAUCUCACCCGCAAUGCCAUGAAGCUGAACGCGUUCCACAAUGAGCUGCGCAUGGCAAGUCGGCUCCGCCAUCCGUGUCUGGUGAACAUGUUCGGCGUUGCCGAAGAUGCCAAGCACUUCUACCUUGUCAUGGACCUCGCAGAGAAGGGCAACUUGGCGCAGUACCAGCAGCGGUUUGGGGUGAGGGCCACACGCGAGAUGGCGCCGCAAUUCACGGCAGACGUUGUACUUGCCCUCGAGUACCUUCGCGACGGGUCUCAGCACUCUUAUUGGGUGACGCCGCCCCCCGACAGCACAGAUGACAGCCUGCUGCAGGACCACAGACACUGCACAUCCCGGACGCUGGGGAUGAGAGGGUCUGCAGGCGAGGCGAGUGCCGCGGAACCGCGCGGCUUGCCCGGCUCCACAUCCGCACACCUCCUGCGUCAGGCCACCGAAAGCGCCUCAGCGGCAACAGUGUCGAAGCGACUGUCGCUGAGUGCUCCAACCACUCCUCCUCUGCCGUCACAGCAUACCGGCGCGACCGAUGCCACUGACAACGUUGGGGCGGAUGCGUGUAGUAGCGUCUCAGCCGUGAGGCUGGUUCCGCGAGAGUCGAUGUCUGAGUCGUCGGAGUCGCCUUUGCGCACCUCUUCCACAGCUUUCGGACAUGAACCCCCAGUGCCUGCUCACACCGCCACUCUCCCACGGCAGCAGGAUGACAACGGCAGGUCCGUCGCGCAGCAGGACAGCAUCAUCGUGCACCGCGACCUCAAGCCUGAAAACCUACUGCUCACCUGGGACUUUCACGUGAAGCUGGCCGACUUUGGCGAUGCGUGUUUCUACGGCGACAAUGAGGCGAACAACUUUGGCGGGACACCGUCCUACAUCUCGCCAGAGGUGUUCGCGCGCUGUAAGGCGAGCCCGUACAGCGACUUGUGGGCCUUGGGUUGCGUGCUGUACGAGCUCCUGGUGGGCGAGCGGCUCUUCUCCGGCUCGCUGGUCGAAGUCGGCACUGCUGUGCAGCAGUUCAAGCCCGAGGCGUUGAUUUUUCCUGACACGCUGACGUCCACGAUGGCGGAUUCGUUAACUGCGAAGGGGAGGGACGCACGGGAAAGAGGCACCGGGUCUGCUGCUGGUAUCGCGGAAGCUGCAAAGGACUUGGUCAGGCAGCUCCUUCAGCCGGUGCCCGAGGAGCGCCUCGGGUCGGCGGAGCGCGGCGGCUUCGACGCCCUCAAGGCACACCCCUUCUUUGCGGACAUAAGUUGGGACAAGGUGCUGCAGACGACGAACAUGACGACCACUAACACCAACUACACAGCAGAGCUGGCCGAGUACCUGGAGCCGACGGAGGCGGUGGUGUACUGCUCCCCGGUGAAGCUGCUGCCGACCGUGGAGGGGAGUAGCUCCAAGGAGCAUUUGAGCACCAAGAGCGGCGGCACCAACUCUCGCAGUACGCAGAUCGCGCUGGUGAUGGCGCUCACCGAUGCGCCUCGGCUGCUGCUGGUGAACCUUGACCUGCACAUGGUGCAAUUCGAGAUUCCAUGGUCGACGGAGCUGUGCGUCAGUGUCCUGCACACCGAGCGCUUCACCGUCACUGUCCCCUUCAGCGACGUUCUCAGGUCCCCCUCGAUACCUGUUCCAGGGUCAACGCUGCCGCCGACGACGACGGCAGAGACGAGCCCGAUGCACUCGAGCAGCAACUUCAGCGCGGCUGCGGCAAACACGAUCACCUACACCUUUUCCGAUUGCAACGGGCGUGCUGACUUGUGGGGCGUCAAGAUCCAUCACCUGCAGUCGAUGUGCUCCGCGAAGCUGGAGUCAGGCAGCGCGGCCGGAAGGAGCCUGCCGCGUCUCUACUCCACCCCAGUGGUCCCCACGGCUGGCGGGGCAUUUCAUUUGCCCCGGUCCAGUGCCUCCUCUCAGCAGCUGAAGCACCAAAGGCGCCGUGACACCCCCACUCUCUCUCCACGUGCAGGCAGACGCUUCCUGCAAUGGCCGCGCACAACCCCUCGCACCAUGCGCGCUGGGAGUCUUGGCAGCUUGACCAUUUCGAGCAACGAGCGCAGCAUUGGUGCGCCGCGCGACAUGCGGUCCACUGCAGCGACGGGCACCUGCGCAGCACUGAGCAGCGAUGCGUGCGGCUGUACGUUGUCGGCGCGCAUCACGCCGGCGACACGCACACGUGCCACCUCCUCCUCCCACCGCAUCUCUGUCUCGCAGUCGUCUGCCUUCACCGUGAGCAGCGCUGCAGCAGCGACACCAUGCACGCCGUCAGUCAUGCUGCAUUCAUCUGAUAUGCUACAGCCACCGUCGCUCACAGGAGCGGCGCUCCCGUCUUUCCAUCGCGGCUCCGCUACCGUGACCGUGACGAUUGCAUCCUCAAACACAAGCGACUCCCCACGCGGCUCUCUGAAUACCUGGAAGGCAAAUGUGGGCGACAGCGAGAGCGUCAGUAGUCUCAAGUCCCCGCUCGAAUUUGACUGCACGCAGAGCACCGCAUGUGCGCGGCCUGCUGCCCCUCCUCCACUGUGCAGUACCGCUAGCACAUCCGCCAACACCCCUGGAGUCUCUCCUACCAACACAACCGCCAUUCCUAUUGGUGGUGAGGACUCACCGCAGUGCGGUGGCAAUGUGAGUGAGGCGCGCUGGAAUGGGUACUUUCUGACGCCUGCCACAUCGACGUGCGCUUCGACGGGGGCCUUGCAUCCCUUGAGUGCAUCAGCUACGGCGACUUAUGCUUCCGGCUCGGUGCCGGAGAGUGCGCUGGGGUGCAGCAGCAGCGUUGGCAACGUCACACCCCACCUGGCGUUCUGCAGCGGGCCCAGAUGCGGGGGUGAAGGUCUUCUAUCUAACAGCUUCGAAGUUACCCACGAGGCGCUGAGCCAAGGCGAGGGCACGCCGGGCCCUUGGAACACGCCGACGCAGGCUGAUAGCACCACAGGCACCCCAGGCACCCCCGGCGUCUUGCGGUUGCCGAGUGUUUGCCGAGACAAAGAAGAAGGAGGCGCAGUUGGAGGUGGCGCGCCUAUCAUUGCCUUAGCGGAGACGGCACCAGCUGCGGCAGCUGCUGCCGCUAAAUUGCCGAUCAAGCGGUCACAGGCGCGUCAGCAGUAUCAUGGGGCGCAGAAGAUGAAGAGCAAGCCAUGCUCAGCAGCAGCAACAUCAUCGACAGCAGAAGCAGCACUGGAAAAGCGCUAGCCUCUCCGAUGCUUGUGCCUUUUCUGCUUCGUUGGUGAGAAAAGCGGUGGGGUGCACGUCGGUGUUGCUUGCUCUCUCACCUUUUGUUUCACUUCUGCGAAGACAGCGAAGAUGUGAGGAGGUGCCCCACCACGCCUGUCUACGUCUCGGUGAGUGGGUGCGGCAGAAAUGUUUGUUCAUGGAAGAAUGGAUGUGGGCGCGGUAGGGUGCAGAGGGAGUUAGGCACAGAGGCCGUACACCGGAAUAGAAAGGGUCCGAUCCCCUUCUCUCUUCUUCGCCUCAAACGACGCACUCAAGGAUCCGCAGCAUCGAAGAGAGAGACGCACGCACAUACGUGUGCACAUACGUACACUACUCCCUUCAGCCACUUUAAGCAUAGGCGUGUACGUGUUCUCCUUUGUCCUGCUCGCUCCUCGCACCACGUUUGCUUGUCUUCCCGCCCCCGCCCCGCUCUCUCGCUUUCUUUUCUUUUGCGCAUGCACCAGGAUUGUACAUGUACGUGCCUUUCUUUUUCUCCCCAUCUUUUUCCCGUCACCCAAACACACCCGUCUUUGCUGGCUGGCGAAGGCGGCAGGCGUGCAUACGUACACAAGGGCGGAAGGGGAGAACAGAGAUGGUACUUGAUGCUAUAAGGACACACACACACACACACACACACACGACGCCAAACCUGCUGUGUUGUCUCUGCGCGCUUCAGAGGAGAGCGCAUGCGCGCAUCCGUCACCUCCUCUCUUUCGCUUGCGCGUCUGCCGGCGCGAAGGUGCCGUAACGCUUUGCCUCGCGUGUACGUGUUUCGUGCGCUGCGCUGCAUCGAUGCCCCUUUCCGUCCGUCCACGCUGCUCGUCUUACUGAGUCGCAUCUUUCCCCUUUCAACGUACACGCAAGCAAAAGAAAAAGGAGUCCGAAGAGGCACAAACAGGCAAAAAGGUAAAGCAGGGAGAGAAGCACUCGAUCUCCUUUCACACCGCCUCUUUUUGUUAUCGGCAUGUGUGUGUGUGUGUGCCUUUUCUGUAUUUGUAACGGGCGUGGGCGACUUCGUCUCGUCUUCUCUCCUUCCAGACAGGAAUCCACUCUUUGACCUGCGUGCGCUUCUCUGCUCUUUUUUUUUCCGCUUCACCGUGCUCCUUGUUGACCUUUUCUGCGUAGGCUUGCCUCUUCUUUUUUUUUUUGUUGCCUUUUGCCCUUGUGUGUAUGUGUGCUUCGUGUCGACGUCUUUUGCGUCUCUUUGCUUGUGCACCUCUGCAGCGCUGAUCACUGUUGCGUGUGCGAACUUCUCACCCCCUUCUCGUUUGCUUUCUGUCUGUCUGUCUCUUCCCUACCAAGGGAGGCUUGCUCUUAUCCGUGCCGCUGUGUGUGUGUGUGUGCUUGGUCUCUUUUUCUCCCCCUUUUUACCCGUCUUUCCUCUGUACGAUUUUUUUUUGUUGUGGUUGUCUCCCACUGCGGCUGGCGCUGAUGAUGGCGCAUACCAUAGACCCCACUAUCUUCGUUGUCUUUUCCCCGUUUUCCUUCCUCUUGGACUGCAAUAAAGCGCUCUCCCACGUUGACCUCGUUUUCUUUCGGAUGCUCUGGUUCGUGUUCCCGUACUUCGUCCGACUCUGCGCUAACCCUUUUUUGUCUGUUCGGUUAUGCUCCUCUCCUUCUUUCGUUUGCUUUGCUGCCUUGUCUCUGCAGGAGCGGUGCGUGUACAGCUCAGGCAGCGCAGCGAGUUUCCGAAUGCGUUUGUGCGCGUGUCGGUGCGCCUGCUGUCACGCGAUCAAGUCUGACCCCUCUCUGUCUCAGUGCUUUCGGCUCUGUGUGUCGCACCAGCGAUUACUUUUUUUUUGUGUUUUUUUUUUUUUCACUCAACGCCCAUGUAUCUCUUUCUCUCUCACUCCUUAUCUCGCCUCUCUGGAGCACUGCUGCUGUGUCCGCACACUGGUGAGUCGGAAGGCCCACGCAAGGCACAGACACACAGGCACACACAGACAAAAAAUGUAGAGACCAUGUCGGUGAUGGAUGGCUCGAUGCUGUGCCGGUGUCUCUGUGUGGACGUUUUCGUGCCAUGCCGAAACAUAUCGUCGCUUCCCUUUUUCGCUUUUUUUUUUCGCGCUCGCGAUUCGCCUUCCAUUCAUGCAUACAUGUCGUUUAUAUAUAUAUAUAUGUGCCACAACGGCAAAAAAAUCAAUAGAAGCAAGCGCAUGAACACACGUAUGCACAUCUGCGCAGGCAGAUGUAUGGAACCGCUAGCAGGGUAGAAGGCAGGGGCAAUGUGUAGCUGCAGGUGAGAGAUCUCAUAUCCGCCCCACGAAUACCCUCUUCCGAAAAAAAAAGCGAUGACGACAUUGGAUCCCUUCUUUUCUCUCAGAGUGUCGGCUACAUUUACCUCCUUUUACUGCUGAGAGAUCUCCCUUUUUUUUUCUAUGUGUGUGUGUCUUCCCCUUGUUUGGCUGGUGCUGCUGUCGAUCCUGAGGUGUGUGCUCCUGUCGUUUCUGCUUUGACCUCCCUCUUUUUGUGUCUGCAUUCAGACAUUUCUUCUUCUGUUUUUUUUUUCCCGCUGCUUUCCACAGCUUGUCCUCCACCUCCCCCCACCAAAAGGAUACAUGACGCUCUCUCUCUGUCGACAUGCGCCCCGUGCCUGCAUCUGCGUGACUCUCUCUAUUUUUCUCUCUCUGUGUCUUCAGCCUCCUCGUCUUCUCCCCUUUUAGCUGCCCACACGCUGCACACGAGGGCCUCUUCCAACCCCCUCCUUCACUCCUUUCUCUCUUUAUUAGACAUGCAAUGAAAGAAGCGUCAACAAGCAAAGAAAAUGAAAAGGAACGGAUGCCACCCUCACCUUACCUAGCCUCCUUCCGUCUUUUGGUAUGCCCUUUUCUUUCACCCGUGUGUGCUCGUACAUGUAUGUAGCUGCGACCUGAGUCUUUUCGGUUGGAUGCUCAAUUACUUUUCUCUCUCUCGCUUGCUGUCGUGCCCUCAUUCAGAUUCGCCGUAUGGAGGCUCAUUGCUCGAUCAGCUGUCUUCUCGUCCCACUCGUCUCUCCCUUUUUCUUUGCUUAUCUCGUAGUACUGUGUUAAACGGAUCGAGAGAGCUACUUGUCAGAAGGGAAGGAAAAAAAAAGAAGCAAGCAAAUGAGAGGAAAAAAAACCGAGAGAGCAGAAACGAGAGAUCGACGAGGCUGGAGGGGGAAGGCACGGUAUGUGGCCAG